GACGAACGCUGGCGGCGUGCUUAACACAUGCAAGUCGAACGGAAAGGCCCUGCUUUUGUGGGGUGCUCGAGUGGCGAACGGGUGAGUAACACGUGAGUAACCUGCACUUGACUGUGGGAUAACUUCAGGAAACUGGGGCGAAUAUCGGAGAGGAGCUCCUGCUGCAUGGGGGGGGUUGGAAAGUUUCGGCGGUUGGGGAUGGAAUCGCGGCUUAUCAGCUUGUUGGUGGGGUAGUGGCUUACCAAGGCUAUGACGGGUAGCCGGCCUGAGAGGGUGACCGGCCACAUGGGGACUGAGAUACGGCCCAGAAUCCUACGGGAGGCAGCAGGGGGGAAUAUUGCACAAUGGGCGGAAGCCAGAUGCAGCAACGCCGCGUGCGUGAUGACGGCCUUCGGGUUAUAAACCGCUUUCGCCUGUGCCGAAGCCUGAUUGACGGUAAUGGGUAAAGAAGCACCGGCUAACUACGUG
Molecule: ribosomal RNA, 468 nt
Filed under: uncultured bacterium
Lineage: Bacteria
Description: partial 16S ribosomal RNA
Rfam family: Bacterial small subunit ribosomal RNA
Source: RNAcentral